Molecule: ribosomal RNA, 189 nt
Filed under: uncultured bacterium
Lineage: Bacteria
Also listed under: 1 other name
Description: partial 16S ribosomal RNA
Rfam family: Bacterial small subunit ribosomal RNA
Source: RNAcentral
CCUACGGGAGGCAGCAGUGAGGAAUAUUGGUCAAUGGGCGAUGGCCUGAACCAGCCAAGUAGCGUGAAGGAUGACUGCCCUAUGGGUUGUAAACUUCUUUUAUAAAGGAAUAAAGUCGGGUAUGCAUACCCGUUUGCAUGUACUUUAUGAAUAAGGAUCGGCUAACUCCGUGCCAGCAGCCGCGGUAAU